This 1290-nucleotide long non-coding RNA is filed under the name Mus pahari (shrew mouse). RNAcentral's name for it is "lncRNA (MGP_PahariEiJ_G0003965.1)". The record is from RNAcentral. Lineage: Eukaryota; Metazoa; Chordata; Mammalia; Rodentia; Muridae.
CGGGCAAGCAGCUCUCUCGCUAUUAAUAACCUGGCGGGGAGCCGGCGUCCAGUCUAUAAAGCCAAGCCCGCCAACCCCAAGCGGCUCCUUCAACCCCUGAGAUCUUAAACAAAAGUGUAUAGAUAUUUUGCCUGCAUUUUUGUCUGUGCACCACAUGUGUGCGGUAUCCACAGGAGCCAAAAAGAUGUCCUCUGGAGCUGGAAUUACAAGUGCAUGUGAGCCACCCUGAGGGUGUUGGGGACUGACUCCCUGUCCUCAGCAAGAGCAGCCACUGAGCCACCCUCCCAGUCCCUAGUUCAUUCUUUAUUCUAUGAAUCAUGUCUAGGACGCCCGAGUGGCCAGGCUCUGGCUGCCCCGCAGUCAUCUCCCUCAUGUCCCUGUCUCAUGCUGAACUAUUUUGGGGGACAUGACCAGCAGAUGAGUCUGGCCACAGUUGUGCCUGGGACAAAGGCCUGGGUUUGGCAAGCACAAACCCCGUUCCAGUCCCGCGCUUUCAGCCUCUGCGUAACCUUGACACUGCGGCCCUACAGGGAAGCUCCUCACGUUGGUCACAGGACUUCUGCAGCUGGGGAGAUGACAGAUGUCUGCAUUGCUACCUGUGGGUGCGAGGACAUCUAAUAUUGAUUGGAGUAGCAUGACAAGAGAAACAGAAAUGGGGCACAGGAGUUCAAGACCAACCUGAGGUACAGGAACCCCUGUCCCAAAGCAAAGCAAAAUACCCUAAAGUUUGAAGUCUGUAAGAUUCAAGUGUUAGGAAGUGGAAUUCAAGAGCCAGACGUUGAUAGCGCACGCCUUUAACCCCACACUCUGGAGGGAGGCAGGCAGAUCUCUUAGUUCAAGACCAGAGUGAGUUCCAGGACAGCCAGGGCUACACAGACAAACACUGUCUCAGGGGAAAAGGAAAGGAAAAGAAAAAAAGAAAAUGAAUUUUAUAAUUUAUUGUAUUAUUUUUAUAUUAUGUGGGGGGAGGAGAUGAUACUAAAAUCUAGUUUCAUAAUUGGUUCUUAAUUUGGUUAAUAAGGUGGAAGCCAGUAGGUCCCAGGCAAAAGAAGAAGCAUGUUUUUAAAAUUACAAACAACAAUUUUAUUUUCAAAGUCUUAUGUAGACAAGGAGGCUUCAGAUUUGUUAUUUAGCAGAACACUACUGUUCAGUCAUUUGUCCAUCCAUCCACCCAUCCACCCACUCAUCUACUGUAGCAUUUUUCUAUAUGUAAUUGGGAUUUUGUCAUUGCAAUUCCACAGAUGGCCAUCAGGUGUCACCCUCAUGCUAAAGAAUAAAAUCUCUGAGGCU